Xyrichtys novacula (pearly razorfish) is the source of this 5130-nucleotide non-coding RNA. Lineage: Eukaryota; Metazoa; Chordata; Actinopteri; Labriformes; Labridae. The record is from the annotation of a GenBank genome assembly.
AAGUUGUGGUUGAUGAUGUGUGAUCAGGAUCUACCUGUUUGAUUUGGUAUCCAGUUUUCGGGGAGGUUUGGGGUUUAAUCAAUCAGAAAAAAGGACUGAGACUGCAGGGAUAGUUUCAGUUUCAGACUGGUUUUGUGGUCUUUCACCUGAUCUAGAAGAUAAUCAACAUCGUCCUCUUUUGUAUCUUCGAUCUUACCACAACAGUGAGUGGAAAAGGUUGCGGUUCAACCAAACCACAUAGUAACAUGUUCUAACCUCUGGUGGUUUCAAGCCUUGUGUCUGUUUCUGACAACAACCUCAAGUAAGAACUGAAAAACUUGUUAGAUUUUGGACUUUAUUGUGUAUUUAAUAUCAUUUUUACAUGUUUACCUCUGUAAAGAAACUGGUGUUAUAAAAGAAAAGUAAGUUUCCUUUGAGUUUAAAGUCAAAGCGACUGAAGUGAGGAAGUUUUUUACACAACAGGACAAGUUUCUUCGAUGAGGCUGAGAUGGUGAAGUGGUGCUGUUUAUGCUGCUGUGGUGUCACAUGUUCAAAUGGAUCAGAUAUUUUCACAAAAACAAAUACUUGUAAGACAUUUUAAAUUAGAUUAAUUCUUUUUCUGUCCACCUUUUGUGACUGACGGUCUCAUGAUAGUCAUAAACUAACGGCUCUCCUGUUUAAAAUUUCCAUCCUGAACUCUGUAAACUUUCAGAUUUCCAUGAAAACAGCAGCUCAGCCACAACUUCCAUCCCCUCCAAGCUUGUUUUCAGAUAAUUAAUCCUCUGUGUGUAUAUUUUUAUCCGUCCUCUCCUCCUACAGGGACGCUGAAGUGCUUUCUCUCUCUCUCUAUCUCUCUGCACCCCCCCCACGCACACACCAGGAGUCGACUCUCACAGAGCUGCAGCUCCACAUACAUCAAUGAGAGGAGGUCAGGUGUGCUGCACCUGGAGCUCGCAGUCAGGUGAGCUGUUAAGCCUCGCUGAGUACCCUGCAGCUGCCCCCCAGAUUUCACAGGGGAGUCUCGUGCACAGACACGUGUGGAGAAGAAGUUAACAUACAGGAGUUUUCAACGCUGAGAGAAAAAACAGGUGCAAAUUUAAGGCGCUUCAUUUCUUUAUAAACCGCUGGUCUGUUACGAUAAACCCACAGACACGACACCAAAAACAGCUUCAUCAAAAUAAACAGUACCAAGUGAAGAGAGUUGAUGAAAUAUACAGUAUGUGAUUGUUUAUUACAACUAAUUCAUAUACACUAUUUUUUAUUUUUUGCAAUUUGAACAGCUGAUAUCAGCUACCACUCUCUACUAGUAAUGUAACCAUUGACUUCCAUUCAGAAUACAAUAUAUAGGUAGAUAUAUGAUAUACUUAAAUUACCUUAAACUAUCAUCUGUAUUUCUUAAUUAUAUAUUUUUAAAAACCUACCUCGUCACUGUUGACCAUUUGUCCCUCUUAAUAACAACUGUGUGUUAUUUAAAAAAAAAAAUACAAUCCAGUUAAUUUUACUUAUGGCAGUUUAACAUUUAAAACUCAUUUCUUCAGUCAGUACUUGAAUUCUUUACACAUAAAUAACUUCAUACUAGUUGAAAUAUAAAUUCAAUCUUGUGUCACAUACUUAAAAUUAAUAUACUUCUGUUGUUGACUUCCAUCUAAAUGGUAACAAUUUAAUUUAACAGUCAAAAAUUUACAAUAUGUCCCACAACAUUAAAUACUUCACUACUCAAGUCACAGUAUCUUUGACGACAAUUAACUUAAACCAUUGACUUCCAUCUAAACUUAAAAUCAAAUAUCUGUAACUUCCUUUUGACUUGUCAUACUUCCAAAUGUUAACAUUUAAUUUUUAUCAGUUGAAACAUAUAUUGAGUUAACUACUUUUACCAUUUACCUCCAUUUAUACUCAUGUGUUAAUCUGUCACCAUAAUCAGAAGUGGCGUAAUUCCUAAUUCUAUUUGAAUUUCAAUACAUUUAGUGUUUUAUGUCCAGUUUGACCGAUCUAUAAUCUUACAUUGAACUCAAAAAUCCAACUCCUACAAGUCAGAAUUUUUAUAGUGCAGUCUUAGUGAUUUUAUGACAUUUAGUCAAUUUUUACCAUUGGCUUCUAUUCAAACGUAAUAACAAAAAUAUGAACUUCAACUUUUUACGGUUCAGAUUUAUAGUCAACAUAGAACACUUGGUAAUUUAUAUUUUGAUGUUGCAGUGUUUUUUUAAUGACAUUUGGUAAGUCAUAACCAUUGACUUCCACUCACUCUAAAUAAUUCAAAAACAGUUUUUGGAUGUAAUGAUUCCAGUUUAACAUAUUUUCUUUGACUUUUCCAAAAUCCAAACUUUUCAGUCAUUUAAACUAUAAGCAAAUAAAAUAUCUAACAUUGACUUUCAUCAAUAUUAUCAGAUACCAAUCACCGUUUUAAGUGCUAUGACUUUGAGUUGAUAUUUCAUAAACUUUCUACAACUUGCAGCAAUUUUACAAAACCAUACCAUUCAUUUCACUGAAUACAAUGCAGGUAUUAAACAAACACUGACAUUGUUCACAGCAGGUAUCGCUUGUUUUAAGGUAAUUCAAUAUCUGUAUAUUUCUUUAACCACCUCAGCUCCCAGAGGCUCCUUAAAUCACAGUUAACAGGUUCAUGACAGCUUUAAGUAUCAUUUAACUGUUCUGCUUUGAUGCAUUACUGACAAAUGACCACUAGAUGGCGCCAUUUAAGCACACUAUGAAUUGUGGCUGCUUCCCAAGUCUGCAGGAGAGGGACAAGGGGGGGAUAAUUUCAAUUCGAAAUGGCUCAUGAAACUUGAAUCACACAUUAGUGGUGUCAAGCUGUCGGUCCUCACUUUCACUGGUGCGUGCCAGCGUACACACACACACACACUCCUGCUCGUCUGUGUGUGUUUUCGGACUAUUUUAGCCCUUUACUACUGUCGCAUUCCUGGCAUGUAUUUUUGACGGCACGCCGUCACCAGAGAGGACUUGAAGGCUUUUCCAGGUCCUUCCAGGAACUGUUGUUCCCACAGCUGCUGCUUUCGAUUUAUUUAUUUGUCUAUUUAGCAUCAACAGGAAACACCCGAUGUAUCACACUCAAGUAUGACUGACUCCUCAUUUCCUCUGUAAGUUAGUGUUGCAGCCAUUAAAUUUCUGUUGUAGUUAUUGCAUGGAUCACAGAUUGAAUGGCCAAGAAAACAGCUUAAAAGCUACUAAACACUCAAUUCUAGCUCUGGGCAGCAUACUGUCAUGUUCAGAGGUAUGAAAAUUUGGAAUAUUCUUUUUGCCAUGACAAGGUUAACCAGUAAACGUGUUUAAAAAGAAGAUAUACCAAUAUCUAAUUACCCAGACACACUGAAAUAAGGUACGAGUACAUUGAACUUGGCCUUUAUUGGUGUUUAUUGAAAUUGGAAAUGUAGUGUCAUCAUAAUUCUUGUUUUAGUUUUGAUUUUAACAUUUUGUAUAAUUCUCCUGUUUGGACUCUUAUCAUUUUAAUGUAUACGAAUGUUUAUAGUCUUGUUGUGGAGGAAGAGUAGCUGCUACCUAGGUAGUAGCUCAUGGGGAUAAAAAACAACAACAAAACGCACCACUAAAGGAGAAAGAAAUAAUGUUCUAUGAGAGGAGAAGUCAGCUUUAAAACUGUGAGUUUAAAAAAUUUAAUCUGUAUAUAUAAAUGAUAACUUUAUCAAUUUUUUGUGUGCUUAAAAAAGCUUUUUUAACUCCUUAAUAUGUGCUGCGAAGAAAUACCAAAACCUCUACAAAAUAAAAUACCUGCUUAAAGAGGAUUAACCCUUUAAUGCCUUUUGUAUCAUAUUUGAUACGUACUUUUAUAUACUUCUAUCAAAUCAAUAUGAUCAACAAAUUACUAAAAAAAUACAAGAAUAUUGUCUGAUAAAUGAUAAAAAUGUCCUCUUGUAGUUUGUUAGUUUCCAAAAACAUCUAAUGUAUCAAAUAAGAUAAAUAAAUAUAUUUGUUAAAAUUUUAAGGACAUUUUGAUUUUUUUUCAUUUUUUGGUAGUAAGUGAAAUUAACAUUUCAGCUCCAAAAACAAUUAAAUUUUCUGACCAUAAUUUAUAGUGUCAGGCAUUAAAGAGGACAAACAUAAAAUUUAAUGUUGAGCAGUAAAUUUUAUUGUUGCAAGACUUAAUGUGCUUAACAAGCCUUAAUCAUGCAACUACCAAACAAUAGGACACUUUGCAGUCAUGCUAUUAAGAGCAAAUUAGCUGCAUUAGAGCUGCAAAGUGCAUAUAAAUCAUAGAAGCACAUAGAGGAGGGUGGGGUAAGUUGAAGGUUAGACACUUAUUUAAUUAAAAAAAAAAAAAACAUUUUUCACUCUCAAAAGUGAAUUUAGUCUGUCAUAAGUUUAAGCUUAGAGGACUAAUAAAGUCAUAAUAGAAGUUCUGGGGUAACUGAGAAAGUAAAGGAGUCUGAUGAGAGGAUCAGAGUUUCAGUUCAGAUUGUUGAAAUGUUUUAUUUUUUCCUUUCAAAAAUACAGGUCUGUGAAUGUUCUGAAUCACUUAAAGACAUUCUCAUGUUAAAAUGACUUUUUACAAAACAGCUUUUCAGCAGUUAUAUGCAAUAAUUAUAAAAAAGAAUGAUUGUACCAGUUGAAUAGUGUAUAGGGAGAGGUAGUAGGGUAGUAGGGAUUUGGAUCAACUUACCCCAUACACAGGGUAAGUUGAUCAUAGGAGACCACUUUUUUUGGCAUGCUAUAUUAUCAAGACAGUUCUGUUUACAAUCAUUCUGUUGGUUUGCAGGGAUGAACAUCUUGAAAUAUAUGCAGAUACACGAGUUAGAGACAAAACUAUGAUUGACUUGAUGAUCCGAAAUAUAUAUCUUACCCCACUCUCCCCUAUGUCAUAAAACAUGUCAAAGUGUUGUCAUAAGAUCAGAACAGUUAUUUAUGGUUAGGAAGCACUUAAACAUGGUUAAAACCCUUAAGACAACAAUCAUGCGCACAAACAUUUUCUAUAAUAUCCUUACGUUAUGACAAUUGUAGGUGCAUUUUUAUGUCUUAUUUUAUUUUUUUUUAACUUUAAAGUUUCAUUUUUAUAAUAAUUCUGUAUUAUUGGAUUUACAGAAACAACAACAACAACAGCCUGAUCUGUCCUCUGUGCCUCAGAAAUGAAACACUAAUCCUCACUAUAAUAACUCCCCCUCAGACUCCCUCCAUUGUGUUCCC